AGAGUUUGAUCCUGGCUCAGGACGAACGCUGGCGGCGUGCUUAACACAUGCAAGUCGAGCGGAAAGGCCCUUCGGGGUACUCGAGCGGCGAACGGGUGAGUAACACGUGAGUAAUCUGCCCCUAGCUCUGGGAUAGCUCCGGGAAACCGGGAUUAAUACCGGAUAUGACCACUUUAGACAUCUGUUGUGGUGGAAAGUUUUUCGGCUGGGGAUGAGCUCGCGGCCUAUCAGCUUGUUGGUGGGGUAAUGGCCUACCAAGGCGACGACGGGUAGCCGGCCUGAGAGGGCGACCGGCCACACUGGGACUGAGACACGGCCCAGACUCCUACGGGAGGCAGCAGUGGGGAAUAUUGCGCAAUGGGCGGAAGCCUGACGCAGCGACGCCGCGUGGGGGAUGAAGGCCUUCGGGUUGUAAACCCCUUUCAGCAGGGACGAAGCGGAAGUGACGGUACCUGCAGAAGAAGCGCCGGCUAACUACGUGCCAGCAGCCGCGGUAACACGUAGGGCGCAAGCGUUGUCCGGAAUUAUUGGGCGUAAAGAGCUCGUAGGUGGUCUGUUGCGUCCGCUGUGAAAACUCGGGGCUUAACCCCGAGCCUGCAGUGGAUACGGGCAGACUAGAGGUAGGUAGGGGAGAAUGGAAUUCCUGGUGUAGCGGUGAAAUGCGCAGAUAUCAGGAGGAACACCGGUGGCGAAGGCGGUUCUCUGGGCCUUACCUGACACUGAGGAGCGAAAGCGUGGGGAGCGAACAGGAUUAGAUACCCUAGUAGUCC
Molecule: ribosomal RNA, 770 nt
Filed under: uncultured bacterium
Lineage: Bacteria
Description: bacterial SSU rRNA
Rfam family: Bacterial small subunit ribosomal RNA
Source: RNAcentral